Molecule: long non-coding RNA, 2793 nt
Organism: Equus caballus (horse)
Lineage: Eukaryota; Metazoa; Chordata; Mammalia; Perissodactyla; Equidae
Source: Ensembl
CAGACUUCAGCCAGGACGUGGGAGGACAACUGGACCCUGAUCUUUACAGAGAUCCAAUGUUGGUCUCCUUGGGGGUCUCAGUUUUCCAAACCAGAUGUGACCCCCAUCUGGAACACGGAGAAGAGCCAUAAAAGGCUAGGGAACGCUUUCCUGUCCAGAUCUGGUGGUCAGAUCUGAAACCAAAGAUGAACUCAGCACAGAGGUUUUCCCGGGAAGAACCAGCCCUUAGAGUCGUGAUGAGUAAGAACACUUAGCAGGAUGGCCUCUGCUCCCUGAGACAGGAUAACCUCCGCCCAGUGACUUGACAAACUGCCCCAAGGCACCGCAAAAUCCAGAGAGGCAACGAUGACAUGUGCUGUCCCCCCCCCCAGGCCCUUCCCUGGAGCCCAGAGUCUGUCCCAGGCUGGAGUCCACAGGCCGAUCCCAGUCGCUGCUCUUAGAAGGAAAGAAGGAAGUGCGGGUCCAGGACAGGCUCAGGGAAUCCCAGAAAGGGCCACCUGCCCUCUCAAAACAUCACCCGACCAGGACAGGCCACGCUGACCCCUGGAAGCAGGGCAGUGACGAGGAUGAGGCAGACACCUCCGAAGCUCCAGGCUCUGGCUGCUUGAAGAGGGAGCCGAGUAGGAGAGGAUGGAGAUUCUGACUCAGAAGCCAAGAAACAGGGAACAGGCCCAGCAUGGGGAGGCAGCGGGUGCAAGAAGGGCAAGAAGUGACAAUUGAAGGCAAAGCCCAACUUAAGAACCCCCUUGGGAAGUCUGGGGUGGAGACUCAGUUUAUACCCCGCAGAAGGGAUAAGGGAAUCUGAGGCGCAGUCUGCCCCAGAGGAACCCAAAGGGGAGUCAGGCUCCCCAUGAACCUGGGCACGUGUUUCUCCUGUCUGUGCCAGGAGCCUCGGCCUCGGUUGUCGUGUGUGUUAAAUGGCCACCCUAAAUUCUAAAUUAAAUGUAAUCCGCUGGAAUAUGAACGUCUCCACUAGAACGUGGACCCCUUGAGAGCAAGGACUUUCUCUUUAAAAAUUGUGAUAAAAUACACAUAACAUAAAAUUUACCAUCUUAGCCAUUUUUAAGUGUGCAAUUCAGUGACAUUGCUUUGCAAGCUUCACCACCAUCCAUCUCCAGAAUUUUUUCAUCUCCUCAAACUGAAACUCUGUCCCCAUUCAACACCAACUCUCCAUUCCCCUCCCCCAAGCCCAGGCAUCCACCAUUCUACUUUCUGUCUCUAUGAAUUUGACUAUUCUGGGGACGUCACACAGAUGGAAUCAUGGAGUAUUUGUCUUUUUGUGACUGGCUUACUGCACUUGGCAUGAUGUCCUCAGGGUUCACCGUGUUGUUGCAUGUGUCAGCAUUUCCUUCCUUUUUAAGGCUGGAUUGUAGUCCACUGUGCGCACAGCCCACACUGUGUUUCUUCAUGGGUUCUGUCCACUGCUGUAUUGCACCCCUAGAACCUUGCUAGCACACGGGAGGGAUUCAAAUAAGCGUUGAGAGAACGACUUAAAUGAGAUAAGCCACGGAAAGCACUACUCUCAGGCACAUAGUAAGCCUUCUGAAAGUAUUAGCCGUUGGCAUGACUCGCCAUCUUCAUGGUAAUCUCAUCCGUGUAAACAUGACCCACAGGAAAGCGAGAGGUCUCGGCAGCGCCCAGAAACAGUUGUAUCUCUCACUGCCACCCCCGUGCAUACACAGAGUGAAGCAGCAGAAGUCACAAGUUAAGAGUUCAAUGUCCCCGGUGCUUCUGAGCUUGGCACUUAUAACCUGAAGUUCUACCAGCUUCUGCCUGAAGAGGUGCCUCCUGGAAGUAGGCUGGUCCCUACCAUCUUGGUGGCCUUUUCUGGAAGACUCAUUGUGGUGGGAGCCCCUGGCUAUGAGCUGCCCUCUGUCACCCUCCAUCGUUCUUAGGGACACCCACUUUCCUUAGAGAUGAGGAAGGCCCAGCCCAGCACUGCAGGAACGGCAGCCAGUGACAUGGUGGGAGGCGGCCAGCAAUGGCCCUCCUUGCUCCAGGGCUACACCUGCAGAAAACCUGGGGUUUAUAUAGGUCAUUUUUCAUACAGGAAGAGAGGGAAUCCCUUUCUACUUCCUCCUUGAACAAAUUCCAGGAGAUUCAGAUGAUGUGUCCUGAAGGUGAUGAGCUGGCAGCCCAAGGCCGUCUUGUCACGUUUCCGUGGUGCAGACGCAGGCCCCAAGAUGCUGCCGUUAUCUGAAGGCCUCUGCUCUACCACGAGAGAAGCCACAGGCUGGUGAGAGCCUGUCUAGGAGGCUGGCUGGGAGGGGGCACAGGAAAGAGGCUGCUGUGUCUUUCCACAGAAAGCUCGUGGACCUCUACCCGUCCGCGGGAGCCUCGUGGCCCAGAGUGGAUGGGGCUGCUCCGUCUUCUCCUGUCAGCUUUACACAGCUCAGCGCGGCAGCCUUUUGACAUGAAGUAAUAAUUGUCAGAGAGGGUCAGGCCUGCACCAGCCGAGAAAACAGCAGAGUGACCCUUGGAAGGAAAGCAGGUCCUGCCGAAUCCGUGCACAGCCCAUUAGCGGGUCAGAGGACCUUCCCCCGCUGACAUUUGCGUCGUCGCUGCCUCAUCAAGAAAUCUGACUUGGGGACAUCCUCUGGGCAGUCACCUUGAUGGGGGCCGUGUGCCCAGCCUCCUUCAGAGUGGUGCUCGGCAGAUGGUUUUAAACAUCAUAAUGAAAAAACAAUAGAAGGCGUUUCACGGUUAUUUUUACCUUAGUACAAAAGGAAUAAAUAAUCAGAGAAAUUUUGGAGAUUAUGAAAAAGCACAGAGAUGGAAUAAAUCGUUUACCCC